Non-coding RNA from Paramuricea clavata, 724 nucleotides. The record is from the annotation of a GenBank genome assembly. Lineage: Eukaryota; Metazoa; Cnidaria; Anthozoa; Malacalcyonacea; Plexauridae.
AAUUUGGGAGACAUGUGUGGGUGACAUUGAGAAACGUAUCGAAAAAUAAAAAUUUUGAAUUUAGUCAUAACCUCAAGCGAUAUAUUAUACGCAUUACCAUUAGUUUUGAGCGCGUGUUACAGCAAUUUUCGUCCAAGCACAAACCGCAAACAUUUUCGCGCGUUUGUUUACGUUUGAAACGGGGCGUUUACCGUUGGAAACUGAAAUGUUUCACCGCUCAUGUGACGUGUCACAUUGAAAAGCCUUAAGCUAUUUUUGGCGCAACUGUCAUGUUUUGAUGUGCUUCCGUGCACGUUUCAAUAUUUCCAAGCCCAUGAUAAUACGUUUUAGUCACAAAAAGUAUGAAUAUAAACAAGUUUGGUCGCUCUUACAAUAUCGUGAGCUUGGAAAUACUGAAAAGUACACGAAAGCACAUAAAAACAUGAAAAAUAACUGAAUUAGGCUUUUCACUAUAACACGUCACAUGAGCAGUGAAACAUUCCGUUUCCAACGGUAAACGCCACGUUUCAAACGUAAACAAACGCGCGAAAAUGUUUGCGGUUUGUGCUUGGACGAAAAUUGCUGUACGUAACAUACAAAGACUGCUACACAAGCCCUUUAACAUUCUCAACUUCCUUUUACAACAUUUAGGCCUUUUACCUCAGAAUAUAAGUUCAACUGUCAGAAUAUAAGUUCAACCUCAGAAUAUAAGUUUGACUCUCUACUACAAAAUAUUUGAUUGGCG